CAUAUAGAUAUAUAUGUGUAUAUAUCUACCUGUGUGUGUGUGUAUGCAUACACACACAUACAUAUAUGUAUAUACAUACA
Molecule: microRNA precursor, 80 nt
Filed under: Mus caroli (Ryukyu mouse)
Lineage: Eukaryota; Metazoa; Chordata; Mammalia; Rodentia; Muridae
Description: miRNA (MGP_CAROLIEiJ_G0007718.1)
Source: RNAcentral